This 62-nucleotide transfer RNA is filed under the name Euphyllura phillyreae. RNAcentral describes it as "tRNA-His". Lineage: Eukaryota; Metazoa; Arthropoda; Insecta; Hemiptera; Liviidae. The record is from RNAcentral.
AACUAUAAUAGUUUAAAAUAAAAUAUUAAUUUGUGGGAUUAAAGAUUAAUUUUUAUUGUAGU